This 273-nucleotide small nuclear RNA is filed under the name Erinaceus europaeus (western European hedgehog). Its description in RNAcentral is "7SK RNA (ENSEEUG00000023783.1)". It matches the Rfam family "7SK RNA", at positions 1 to 294 of the family's 331-position model. Rfam says of the family: 7SK was discovered as an abundant small nuclear RNA in the mid-70s but a possible function has only recently been suggested. Two independent studies have found that 7SK RNA binds the CDK9/cyclin T complex (known as elongation factor P-TEFb). P-TEFb activates transcription by phosphorylating the C-terminal domain of RNA polymerase II. Lineage: Eukaryota; Metazoa; Chordata; Mammalia; Eulipotyphla; Erinaceidae. The record is from RNAcentral.
GGAUGCAAGGGCAAUCUGGCUACAGUAGCUGUCACCCCGGUGAUCACCAGGAUUGACUGGGCUGAUCUGGCUGGCUAGGCGGGUGUCCCCUUCCUCCUUCACCACUCCAUGUGUGUGGCUGCUGAAGCUGUGCACUGAAUAACCUUCUCCAGAGAGAGACCGACCGGUCUUCAGUUGAGGGUAUAUGAGUAGCUACACUCUCCUGCUAGAACCUUCAAAGAAGCCCUCACAUGUCAUUCUAUUUGUAGAGGCUGUUAUUUAUUUAUUCCCUUU